Molecule: unclassified non-coding RNA, 428 nt
Filed under: Hevea brasiliensis (rubber tree)
Lineage: Eukaryota; Viridiplantae; Streptophyta; Magnoliopsida; Malpighiales; Euphorbiaceae
Source: RNAcentral
GUCCCCUUCACCUUUCCAACUCCAGAGAGAGAGAGAGAGGGAGUCAGUUGCAGUAGGAAGAGAUGAAGACCAUUCUCUCAUCUGAAACCAUGGAUAUCCCCGAGGGGGUGAAGAUCAAAGUGAACGCGAAAAUCAUCGAGGUCGAAGGCCCUCGGGGGAAACUCGUUCGGAAUUUCAAGCAUCUGAAUCUCGAUUUCCAGCUGAUCACCGACGAGGCUACCGGAAAGAAGAAGCUCAAGAUUGAUGCUUGGUUUGGCUCCAGGAAGACUUCUGCUGCCAUUCGCACUGCCCUUAGCCAUGUUGAAAAUCUCAUCACUGGUGUCACGAAGGGCUACCGUUACAAGAUGCGAUUUGUUUAUGCUCACUUUCCAAUUAAUGCUAGCAUCACGAACGCUAGCAAAUCCAUCGAGAUCCGCAACUUUCUUGGC